CCUACGGGUGGCAGCAGUGAGGAAUAUUGGUCAAUGGACGAGAGUCUGAACCAGCCAAGUAGCGUGAAGGAUGACUGCCCUAUGGGUUGUAAACUUCUUUUAUAUGGGAAUAAAAUGUUCCACGUGUGGGAUUUUGUAUGUACCAUAUGAAUAAGGAUCGGCUAACUCCGUGCCAGCAGCCGCGGUAAUACGGAGGAUCCGAGCGUUAUCCGGAUUUAUUGGGUUUAAAGGGAGCGUAGGUGGAUUGUUAAGUCAGUUGUGAAAGUUUGCGGCUCAACCGUAAAAUUGCAGUUGAAACUGGCAGUCUUGAGUACAGUAGAGGUGGGCAGAAUUCGUGGUGUAGCGGUGAAAUGCUUAGAUAUCACGAAGAACUCCGAUUGCGAAGGCAGUUCACUGGACUGCAACUGACACUGAGGCUCGAAAGUGUGGGUAUCAAACAGGAUUAGAUACCCGAGUAGUC
RNAcentral lists this ribosomal RNA (460 nucleotides) under uncultured bacterium. RNAcentral's name for it is "partial 16S ribosomal RNA". It matches the Rfam family "Bacterial small subunit ribosomal RNA", at positions 338 to 795 of the family's 1533-position model. The record is from RNAcentral.